This 492-nucleotide ribosomal RNA is filed under the name uncultured bacterium. RNAcentral describes it as "partial 16S ribosomal RNA". It matches the Rfam family "Bacterial small subunit ribosomal RNA", at positions 29 to 507 of the family's 1533-position model. The record is from RNAcentral.
AGUGAACGCUGGCGGUAGGCCUAACACAUGCAAGUCGAACGGCAGCACAGUAAGAGCUUGCUCUUACGGGUGGCGAGUGGCGGACGGGUGAGGAAUACAUCGGAAUCUACUUUUUCGUGGGGGAUAACGUAGGGAAACUUACGCUAAUACCGCAUACGACCUACGGGUGAAAGCAGGGGAUCUUCGGACCUUGCGCGAUUGAAUGAGCCGAUGUCGGAUUAGCUAGUUGGCGGGGUAAAGGCCCACAAAGGCGACGAUCCGUAGCUGGUCUGAGAGGAUGAUCCGCCACACUGUAACUGAGACACGGUCCAGACUCCUACGGGAGGCAGCAGUGGGGAAUCUUGCACAAUGGGCGCAAGCCUGAUCCAGCCAUACCGCGUGGGUGCAGAAGGCCUUCGGGUUGUAAAGCCCUUUUGUUGGGAAAGAAAAGCAGCAGGUUAAUACCCCGCUGUUCUGACGGUACCCAAAGAAUAAGCACCGGCUAACUUCGUG